ACAUCCUACGGGACGCAGCAGUGAGGAAUAUUGGUCAAUGGCCGAGAGGCUGAACCAGCCAAGUCGCGUGAGGGAUGACGGCCCUACGGGUUGUAAACCUCUUUUGUCGGGGAACAAAGGCGCCCACGGGUGGGCGGAUGAGUGUACCCGAAGAAAAAGCAUCGGCUAACUCCGUGCCAGCAGCCGCGGUAAUACGGAGGAUGCGAGCGUUAUCCGGAUUUAUUGGGUUUAAAGGGUGCGUAGGCGGUCUGUUAAGUCAGCGGUAAAAUUGCGGGGCUCAACCCCGUCGAGCCGUUGAAACUGGC
RNAcentral lists this ribosomal RNA (305 nucleotides) under uncultured bacterium. RNAcentral describes it as "bacterial SSU rRNA". It matches the Rfam family "Bacterial small subunit ribosomal RNA", at positions 334 to 637 of the family's 1533-position model. The record is from RNAcentral.